RNAcentral lists this ribosomal RNA (362 nucleotides) under uncultured soil bacterium. Its description in RNAcentral is "bacterial SSU rRNA". It matches the Rfam family "Bacterial small subunit ribosomal RNA", at positions 26 to 371 of the family's 1533-position model. The record is from RNAcentral.
AGAUUGAACGCUGGCGGAAUGCUUUACACAUGCAAGUCGAACGGCAGCACGGGACUCAGGCAACUGAGCCCUGGUGGCGAGUGGCGAACGGGUGAGUAACAUAUCGGAACGUACCCAGUCGUGGGGGAUAACUCUCCGAAAGGAGAGCUAAUACCGCAUACGUCCUGAGGGAGAAAGCGGGGGACCUAAGGGUAACUGAGGGCCUCGCGCGGAUUGGAGCGGCCGAUAUCGGAUUAGCUAGUUGGUGAGGUAAAGGCUCACCAAGGCGACGAUCCGUAGCGGGUCUGAGAGGACGACCCGCCACACUGGAACUGAGACACGGUCCAGACUCCUACGGGAGCAGCAGUGGGGAAUUUGGACAA